GAUGAAGAACGUAGCGAAAUGCGAUAAGUAAUGUGAAUUGCAGAAUUCAGUGAAUCAUCGAAUCUUUGAACGCACAUUGCGCCCGCCAGUAUUCUGGCGGGCAUGCCUGUUCGAGCGUCAUACAACCCUCAGGCCCCCGGGCCUGGCGUUGGGGAUCGGCGGAGCCCCCCGUGGGCACACGCCGUCCCCCAAAUACAGUGGCGGUCCCGCCGCAGCUUCCAUCGCGUAGUAGCUAACACCUCGCGACUGGAGAGCGGCGCGGCCACGCCGUAAAACACCCAACUCUUCUGAAGUUGACCUCGAAUCAGGUAGGAAUACCCGCUGAACUUAAGCAUAUCAAUAAGCGGAGGA
This 351-nucleotide unclassified non-coding RNA is filed under the name soil metagenome. RNAcentral's name for it is "partial contains 5.8S ribosomal RNA, internal transcribed spacer 2, and large subunit ribosomal RNA". The stretch from base 1 to 120 matches the Rfam family "5.8S ribosomal RNA", at positions 35 to 154 of the family's 154-position model. The record is from RNAcentral.